RNAcentral lists this ribosomal RNA (468 nucleotides) under uncultured bacterium. RNAcentral's name for it is "partial 16S ribosomal RNA". It matches the Rfam family "Bacterial small subunit ribosomal RNA", at positions 28 to 507 of the family's 1533-position model. The record is from RNAcentral.
GACGAACGCUGGCGGCGUGCUUAACGCAUGCAAGUCGAACGGAAAGGCCCUGCUUUUGUGGGGUGCUCGAGUGGCGAACGGGUGAGUAACACGUGAGUAACCUGCCCUUGACUUUGGGAUAACUUCAGGAAACUGGGGCUAAUACCGGAUAGGAGCUCCUGCUGCAUGGUGGGGGUUGGAAAGUUUCGGCGGUUGGGGAUGGACUCGCGGCUUAUCAGCUUGUUGGUGGGGUAGUGGCUUACCAAGGCUUUGACGGGUAGCCGGCCUGAGAGGGUGACCGGCCACAUUGGGACUGAGAUACGGCCCAGACUCCUACGGGAGGCAGCAGUGGGGAAUAUUGCUCAAUGGGCGGAAGCCUGAUGCAGCAACGCCGCGUGCGGGAUGACGGCCUUCGGGUUGUAAACCGCUUUCGCCUGUGACGAAGCGUGAGUGACGGUAAUGGGUAAAGAAGCACCGGCUAACUACGUG